Molecule: ribosomal RNA, 676 nt
Filed under: Bacillus sp. YIM 93901
Lineage: Bacteria; Bacillati; Bacillota; Bacilli; Caryophanales; Bacillaceae
Description: bacterial SSU rRNA
Rfam family: Bacterial small subunit ribosomal RNA
Source: RNAcentral
UGCAAGUCGAGCGCGGGAAGCAGGCAGAUCCCUUCGGGGUGAAACCUGUGGAACGAGCGGCGGACGGGUGAGUAACACGUGGGCAACCUGCCUGAAAGUCCGGGAUAACCCCGGGAAACCGGGGCUAAUACCGGAUGAGCCUGUCGACCGCCUGGUCGACGGGGAAAAGCGGGGAUUUUCCUCGCGCUUUCAGAUGGGCCCGCGGCGCAUUAGCUUGUUGGAGAGGUAAGAGCUCCCCAAGGCGACGAUGCGUAGCCGACCUGAGAGGGUGAUCGGCCACACUGGGACUGAGACACGGCCCAGACUCCUACGGGAGGCAGCAGUAGGGAAUCAUCCGCAAUGGGCGAAAGCCUGACGGUGCAACGCCGCGUGAGUGAAGAAGGUUUUCGGAUCGUAAAGCUCUGUUAUCCGAGAAGAACAAGGACCGGUCAAACAGGCCGGUUCCAUGACGGUACCGGAUCAGAAAGCCCCGGCUAACUACGUGCCAGCAGCCGCGGUAAUACGUAGGGGGCAAGCGUUGUCCGGAAUUAUUGGGCGUAAAGGGCGCGCAGGCGGUUUCCUAAGUCUGAUGUGAAAGGCCACGGCUCAACCGUGGAAUGGCAUUGGAAACUGGGGGACUUGAGUACAGGAGAGGAGAGCGGAAUUCCACGUGUAGCGGUGAAAUGCGUAGAGAUGU